Long non-coding RNA from Musca domestica (house fly), 729 nucleotides. RefSeq lists it as uncharacterized. The transcript has 2 exons. NCBI's taxonomy places the organism in Eukaryota, Metazoa, Arthropoda, Insecta, Diptera, Muscidae. The record is from RefSeq and is a predicted model, not a curated record.
UUGUACAACAAUCGUAACAACAACCACAUAUAAAUUUGUUUUUGUACGUAAUCCAAGUGUCAGAGUUAUGUGUCCAAAAAUGUAAACAAAAUAAUUAAUUUUCAAUAAAUUAUUUUAAUUUCAAAAAUAUACAUUUUUGGAAUUUGGAUUAUUAAAUUGAAAAUGCAGAAGAAUAGUUCUUAAGAUAAUUAAUUUUACAGCCUGUUCCACGAUGUCGAAAGAACACGUUCGCACAACUUUUACACCACAAACAGCUGAUUUCCGUUCCACUAAAAUCCAUCAGAACGAAAAUUUGCACGAAAAUCAAAGCGAACGAAAACGUAAGCGUUUCAGUGUAAUUUUGCGUUCCACUAUCUUUUUUCUUUCGUACGCAUGCGAACACAAAUGUCAAAAUCAGUCACUUGUGUGUUUGCUGUCGAAUAAUAAAAAUUAAGGAAAAUUGUUUUAACAUAAACAUUCCUUGAUUGAAAAUGGAAAGAAAAAUCACGAAAAAACUACACAGCUGCGGGCACUAGUUGAGUAUAUGGGGGAGAAUCCUAAGUUCGCCAGAGGAGUGCCAAUUUUUGGAAGCAGCAAGCAAUCCCAUGAAGACCACUGGAAGACACAAACCUAGAAAAAAUCAUUUUUUUAUUAUUUUAAAAAUGUAAAAAUACAAUCAUACUUACUGGUUGUUAGGUACUUCAAAUAAAUUCGAAGCAUCUCUUAAAUGCCUCCGUGGCACAAUUUGAA